This is a long non-coding RNA of Mus musculus (house mouse), 296 nucleotides long. RefSeq annotates it as predicted gene, 53555. The record is from RefSeq and is a predicted model, not a curated record. NCBI's taxonomy places the organism in Eukaryota, Metazoa, Chordata, Mammalia, Rodentia, Muridae. The transcript has 2 exons.
AACGUAUUUCAAGUGAGCCUCAGUGUUCUUCCCGUCCCACCCCGAAUAUUGACGGUGUACAGACGGAUGAAGCACCUGUAAGCAGAGCUAGCAGCAUUGAAAUACCUACCCCCAGAGACAAAUGAAUGGGACCGACAAGCAAAGAUGAAGGACCAGAAGGACAGGACAAAAACGAAGCAGGAGCAGAAGAGCAAGCAUAUUGGUACCAUUCUGGCUCUGCAAAAUUCUGCUGUACUUGCUAAAACAGGACUCCUUGAGACGCUCUAAUGUCCUUGCAACAAACCUCUAUUUAAUUA